AGUGAACGCUGGCGGCAGGCCUAAUACAUGCAAGUCGAACGGCAGCACAGCAGAGCUUGCUCUGUGGGUGGCGAGUGGCGGACGGGUGAGGAAUACGUGGGAAUCUGCCCAGUCGUGGGGAUAACGUAGGGAAACUUACGCUAAUACCGCAUGCGCCCUUCGGGGAAAGCCGGGGACCUUCGGGCCUGGCGCGAUUGGAUGAGCCCACGUCGGACUAGCUAGUUGGCGGGGUAAAGGCCCACCAAGGCGACGAUCCGUAGCUGGUCUGAGAGGAUGAUCAGCCACACUGGAACUGAGACACGGUCCAGACUCCUACGGGAGGCAGCAGUAGGGAAUAUUGGACAAUGGGCGCAAGCCUGAUCCAGCCAUGCCGCGUGAGUGAAGAAGGCCCUCGGGUUGUAAAGCUCUUUUGUCCGGAAAGAAAAGCGCCGGGUUAAUACCCUGGUGUCCUGACGGUACCGGAAGAAUAAGCACCGGCUAACUUCGUGCCAGCAGCCGCGGUAAU
This 505-nucleotide ribosomal RNA is filed under the name uncultured bacterium. RNAcentral describes it as "bacterial SSU rRNA". It matches the Rfam family "Bacterial small subunit ribosomal RNA", at positions 29 to 524 of the family's 1533-position model. The record is from RNAcentral.